GCUGAAAUUCCUUCUUCUACACAAUCAUUUUGUAGUACAGAAUUUUUCUAGUUUUCAAUCUAGCAAGCCUACUUAUUAUUAAGGCAUAAUUCUCUUCUAAGGAUCCACUAUGUCAGCAAAGUUCAUCCAGUGUUAGGAAAAGACAUGGUUUUGAUGUCGUUGGCUGGAAGAUUUGGAUUUCUAAACUGAGAGACAUCCAGAUUGCAGAAUAAUAGCAGUUUGACAUAACUUUUACUGCUAUGACACCAUUUUAUGGAAUCCUGGGAUUUGGAGAUUGUCGUAUCACCAAAGUUCUCUGACACACAAAGAUUUUAUUAAAGUAUAAAAUUAUUGAAUACAGCGAAAGAGUGGGAACAAUGUGAAGUAACAGAAAGAUAAGAAAGAAAGAAAAAGAAAGAGAAGAAAAAGAAAAAAAGCAUAAAAGUGCAUUAAAAAAUGACUUCCAUCUUUGCCUUUGCGUAUCCCAUUUCUAUUUGUAUAUAAAAAAGAGGGUGAUAAAUAAAAAAAACAAUUAUAAAUCAUCCUCUAUCAAUAUUAUGAAAAAGGCGAACACUGAAAAAACCUAGUGUUUGCCUUUAUGUUGUCUAAGUCACGGUUUCUUUACUAGCCAUAAAAACAGUACGUUGAUAGCCACCAGGAGAAGUUGUCCUUCUGUUCAUUCCCUCAUGGCCUUCAA
Molecule: long non-coding RNA, 676 nt
Organism: Anolis carolinensis (green anole)
Lineage: Eukaryota; Metazoa; Chordata; Lepidosauria; Squamata; Anolidae
Exons: 3
Source: RefSeq, a predicted model, not a curated record